This 501-nucleotide ribosomal RNA is filed under the name uncultured bacterium. RNAcentral's name for it is "partial 16S ribosomal RNA". It matches the Rfam family "Bacterial small subunit ribosomal RNA", at positions 30 to 523 of the family's 1533-position model. The record is from RNAcentral.
AUUGAACGCUGGCGGCAUGCCUUACACAUGCAAGUCGAACGGCAGCACGGGUGCUUGCACCUGGUGGCGAGUGGCGAACGGGUGAGUAAUACAUCGGAACGUACCUUAUCGUGGGGGAUAACGCAGCGAAAGUUGCGCUAAUACCGCAUACGCCCUGAGGGGGAAAGCGGGGGACCGUAAGGCCUCGCGCGAUUAGAGCGGCCGAUGUCUGAUUAGCUUGUUGGGGAGGUAAAAGCUCACCAAGGCGAUGAACAGUAGCUGGUCUGAGAGGACGAUCAGCCACACUGGGACUGAGACACGGCCCAGACUCCUACGGGAGGCAGCAGUGGGGAAUUUUGGACAAUGGGGGCAACCCUGAUCCAGCAAUGCCGCGUGAGUGAAGAAGGCCUUCGGGUUGUAAAGCUCUUUUGUCAGGGAAGAAACAGCAGCUCUAACACAGUCUGCGAAUGACGGUACCUGAAGAAUAAGCACCGGCUAACUACGUGCCAGCAGCCGCGGUAA